RNAcentral lists this ribosomal RNA (357 nucleotides) under uncultured bacterium. RNAcentral's name for it is "bacterial SSU rRNA". It matches the Rfam family "Bacterial small subunit ribosomal RNA", at positions 29 to 408 of the family's 1533-position model. The record is from RNAcentral.
ACGAACGCUGGCGGCGUGCAUAACACAUGCAAGUCGAGCGGGCGUAGCAAUACGUCAGCGGCAGACGGGUGAGUAACGCGUGGGAACAUACCUUUUGGUUCGGAACAACACAGGGAAACUUGUGCUAAAUACCGGAUAAAGCCCUUACGGGGAAACGAUUUAUCGCCGAAAGAUUGGCCCCGCGUCUGAUUAGCUAGUUGGUGAGGUAAUGGCUCACCAAGGCGACGAUCAGUAGCNGGUCUGAGAGGAUGAUCAGCCACAUUGGGACUGAGACACGGCCCAGACUCCUACGGGAGGCAGCAGUGGGGAAUAUUGCGCAAUGGGCGGAAGCCUGACGCAGCGACGCCGCGUGGGGGA